AUUGAACGCUGGCGGCAUGCCUUACACAUGCAAGUCGAACGGCAGCACGGGAGCAAUCCUGGUGGCGAGUGGCGAACGGGUGAGUAAUAUAUCGGAACGUGCCCAGUCGUGGGGGGAUAACGCAGCGAAAGCUGUGCUAAUACCGCAUACGAUCUCUGGAUGAAAGCAGGGGACCUGCAAGGGCCUCGCGCGAUUGGAGCGGCCGAUAUCAGAUUAGCUAGUUGGUGGGGUAAAGGCCCACCAAGGCGACGAUCUGUAGCUGGUCUGAGAGGACGACCAGCCACACUGGAACUGAGACACGGUCCAGACUCCUACGGGAGGCAGCAGUGGGGAAUUUUGGACAAUGGGCGCAAGCCUGAUCCAGCAAUGCCGCGUACAGGAUGAAGGCCUUCGGGUUGUAACUAGCUUUGUC
RNAcentral lists this ribosomal RNA (412 nucleotides) under uncultured bacterium. Its description in RNAcentral is "bacterial SSU rRNA". It matches the Rfam family "Bacterial small subunit ribosomal RNA", at positions 30 to 439 of the family's 1533-position model. The record is from RNAcentral.